CUAGUUCUGUGGGUUUACUAGAUUGUGUCAGUUCUACUUGUUGAGCUUCCUCAAGUUCAACUUUAGAGGCAUUAAUUCCUUCCUCAAGAAUUUUUUUUUCCAAAAAGACUAUCCUAAGGCUAACAAACACCUUUGUUCAUCAGUAAGAUAGAAAUAAUACUCCUUAGUUUCUUUGGGACACUCUAUAAAAAUAUAUUUGUCAGAUCUGGCUCUGAGUUUGUUUAUUUUCAAAAGUUUGACAUAAACUGGACACCCC
This 256-nucleotide long non-coding RNA is filed under the name Elaeis guineensis (African oil palm). RNAcentral describes it as "long non-coding RNA (EGUI_LNC055304)". The record is from RNAcentral. Lineage: Eukaryota; Viridiplantae; Streptophyta; Magnoliopsida; Arecales; Arecaceae.